Molecule: ribosomal RNA, 440 nt
Filed under: uncultured bacterium
Lineage: Bacteria
Description: partial 16S ribosomal RNA
Rfam family: Bacterial small subunit ribosomal RNA
Source: RNAcentral
CCUACGGGGAGCUGCAGUGGGGAAUAUUGCACAAUGGGGGAAACCCUGAUGCAGCGACGCCGCGUGAGUGAAGAAGUAUUGCGUUAUGUACAGCUCUAGCAGCAGGGAAGAAAAUGACGGUACCUGAGUAAGAAGCACCGGCUAACUACGUGCCAGCAGCCGCGGUAAUACGUAGGGGGCAAGCGUUACCCGGAUUUACGGGGUGUAAAGGUAGCGUAGACGGCAGCACAAGUCUGGAGUGAAAUGCCGGGGCUUAACCCCGGAACUGCUUUGGAAACUGUGCAGCUAGAUUGCAGGAGAGGUAAGUGGAAUUCCUAGUGUAGCGGUGAAAUGCGUAGAUAUUAGGAGGAACACCAGUGUCGAAGGCGGCUUACUGGACUGUAACUGACGUUGAGGCUCGAAAGCGUGGGGAGCAAACAGGAUUAGAUACCCCUGUAGUC